This is a non-coding RNA of Aegilops tauschii subsp. strangulata, 1300 nucleotides long. The record is from RefSeq and is a predicted model, not a curated record. Lineage: Eukaryota; Viridiplantae; Streptophyta; Magnoliopsida; Poales; Poaceae.
ACCGCCCCUUCUCUCUCUGUCUUAUCCCUUUCCUCUAGUGAAGCUCGGCCACUGUUUCUUCCUCUAGUGAAGCUCCGCCACUGUUUCCCCAAAUCCACAAGACUGCUCCGGCCGAGCCAGCUGCAAGGGAUGGCCGGAGGGUGCAGCUGCUGCGAGAGCUGACCGGAGACGGCGCAGCAUCACCGCCACACGUAUCUCGCUGCUAGCAGCAGGGAGACGGCGAAGUACACAAGAAGCAGAGCAACGGCGAGAUCCACGAGCUUGACGACAACGGCAAGCUGGAGUCUCCUCCCGACGAGCUCGACAAGGAAUACGACGACGGCGAUGUCCCGGAGCAGCACGGCCGACCUGGACGAGGAGGAGGGUAGCAACCAGACGAGGGGCAUGCCUGGGCCGCCGGGCUAUCUUAUGGCUGCAGGAGGCCUCUGACGGCAGGGUCGCGACAGCUGGACCUCGGCGCCCUCCUGCCUGGCCAAGCCCCAGUAGCAAAACCAAAGAUGCUGUCCAACCAAGUUUGUGUUUCCACAUUGCUUCUUAUGGCAUUGAAAGCUUCUUCAAAGGCUUCCUCUUCCUCAUACUUGUACAUGCAAGCACUGAAAUCAGCAAGUACAUUUGGUCCUUCCUCGUCUUUUUUCUUAUGAGGUACAAUUCCUGAAUCAUCUGCUGUUUCAAUUUCAAAUGCUUGCAAGGCCGAAAUUUUCCUCUGUGAUGGCAUCAAGUGGCUUGUCCCAGGAGAAGGACAACAAAAGAGAGAUCGUCUGCAUUAAUCUCCUGUCAUGUUUUGGAAAUCCCAGAAGGAAGACAAAAGGGAGAUAAUCUUCAUCGCCUACAGAUCAGCUUGCCUUGGUUUCACUCUGAACAUGGGGGAUGAUCAGAAGAGAGAUAAGGCAAAAGGGAGUUGAUCUCGCCACCUACAGACCACAGAUGAACGUACCUCCGCCAUGUUCUUUUACAAGGACGAACAAGAGGAACGGGGAAGAUGAGCAGGACGAAGGCAAAUAGAUCGUAGAGGAGCCGAACCCAUCGAUCGCUGUUUGUCGCCAACGCGAUUAUUAGGGUGGUGUUUUGUUUGGCGCCAAUGUGAGUCUUCGUGGUUCUGUUUGGCGCCAAUGUGAGUCUUCGUGGUUCUGUUUGGCGCCAAUCUUGCAACCGUACAAGAUUUUCUACCACAUAAUUAGGUGUUUGUUUCCAUCUAUUAACAGAAUCGGGUGGGGGUAAUGAGAGCCGUGAGAUUUAAAUGAAUGGCUGAUUUGGGUUGGUACAGUACCCGUGCAGUAAUAACGUGACUGCAGAUGAGCCG